This 253-nucleotide ribosomal RNA is filed under the name uncultured bacterium. RNAcentral's name for it is "partial 16S ribosomal RNA". It matches the Rfam family "Bacterial small subunit ribosomal RNA", at positions 524 to 776 of the family's 1533-position model. The record is from RNAcentral.
UACGGAGGGUGCAAGCGUUAAUCGGAAUUACUGGGCGUAAAGCGCACGCAGGCGGCUUUUUAAGUCAGAAGUGAAAGCCCAGGGCUCAACCUGAGAACUGCAUCUGAGACUGGCAAGCUUGAGUCUCGUAGAGGGGAGUAGAAUUCCAGGUGUAGCGGUGAAAUGCGUAGAGAUCUGGAGGAAUACCGGUGGCGAAGGCGGCCCCCUGGACGAAGACUGACGCUCAGGUGCGAAAGCGUGGGGAGCAAACAGG